GCCAUUCUAGUGGAGGAUAAUUUAGAGAGAUGUCUCAAGUUAUCAAAUACAACUAAAGAGGAGGAUCCUAAUUUACAAAGAGAAGUGAUAGAGUUGGAUAGUGAAUCUCUAUUAGAUGUUGUGCUAGGAACAAAGGAGGAGCCACAUGGUGAGACAAGAAAAAUAGAGCUUAAGCCUUUACCUAAUCAUUUGAAAUAUGUGUUUCUUCAGAAGGAGCCUAACUUAGUAGUUAU
This 233-nucleotide long non-coding RNA is filed under the name Carica papaya (papaya). RNAcentral describes it as "long non-coding RNA (CPAP_LNC003906)". The record is from RNAcentral. Lineage: Eukaryota; Viridiplantae; Streptophyta; Magnoliopsida; Brassicales; Caricaceae.